Molecule: ribosomal RNA, 301 nt
Filed under: uncultured bacterium
Lineage: Bacteria
Description: partial 16S ribosomal RNA
Rfam family: Bacterial small subunit ribosomal RNA
Source: RNAcentral
CAGCCGCCACGGGAAUACAGAGGAUGCAAGCGUUAUCCGGAAUGAUUGGGCGUAAAGCGUCUGUAGGUGGCUUUUCAAGUCCGCCGUCAAAUCCCAGGGCUCAACCUUGGACAGGCGGUGGAAACUACCAAGCUGGAGUACGGUAGGGGCAGAGGGAAUUUCCAGUGGAGCGGUGAAAUGCGUUGAGAUCGAAAAGAACACCAACAGCGAAAGCACUCUGCUGGGACGACACUGACACUAAGAGACAAAAGCUAGGGGAGCAAAUGGGAUUAGAUACCCCCGUAGUCCCUGUCUCUUAUAC